AAUCAACGCUGGCGGCGCGCUUAACACAUGCAAGUCGAGCGAGAAAGGGGAGCAAUCCCUGAGUACAGCGGGCGUACGGGUGAGUAACACGUGGGUGAUCUACCUUCUAGUGUGGAAUAACCCUGGGAAACCGGGGCUAAUACCGCAUAAGCCUGUGAAGGGAAAGCAGCAAUGCGCUGGAAGAGGAGCCCGCGGCCGAUUAGCUAGUUGGUGAGGUAACGGCCCACCAAGGCGAUGAUCGGUAGCCGGCCUGAGAGGGCACACGGCCACACUGGGCACUGAAACACGGGCCAGACUCCUACGGGAGGCAGCAGUGGGGAAUCUUGCACAAUGGAGGCAACUCUGAUGCAGCGACGCCGCGUGAGCGAUGAAGCCCUUCGGGUGU
Molecule: ribosomal RNA, 385 nt
Filed under: uncultured bacterium
Lineage: Bacteria
Description: bacterial SSU rRNA
Rfam family: Bacterial small subunit ribosomal RNA
Source: RNAcentral